GGGUGUGCAACUCAAAACAAGUAGGUCUCAUCAACACCCCUAAGCUACCAAAUCUUACAUGACUCAACCAAAUUCUAUGUUUGAUUAAGCAAACCUGAAUCUGAACCCAUUCCACAAUUUCUAAACGGAAAAAUAACUCCAUGUUGAGUAAAUUUAGGUCAGGUGGUGUUGGGUCUGAUCAAGCUUGGAUGUUUUCCCCUUGCUUUACAUAAGCGUUGGG
This 220-nucleotide long non-coding RNA is filed under the name Elaeis guineensis (African oil palm). Its description in RNAcentral is "long non-coding RNA (EGUI_LNC021108)". Lineage: Eukaryota; Viridiplantae; Streptophyta; Magnoliopsida; Arecales; Arecaceae. The record is from RNAcentral.